ACUUGGGUAUUUUAAUUUAAAAAAUUAUGAUUUGUGGUAUCCUAGAUAUCUUUUUGAUCUUAGGUC
This 66-nucleotide transfer RNA is filed under the name Callitettix biformis. Its description in RNAcentral is "tRNA-His". The record is from RNAcentral. Lineage: Eukaryota; Metazoa; Arthropoda; Insecta; Hemiptera; Cercopidae.